This 74-nucleotide transfer RNA is filed under the name Streptococcus oralis. Its description in RNAcentral is "tRNA-Met". It matches the Rfam family "tRNA". Rfam says of the family: Transfer RNA (tRNA) molecules are approximately 80 nucleotides in length. Their secondary structure includes four short double-helical elements and three loops (D, anti-codon, and T loops). Further hydrogen bonds mediate the characteristic L-shaped molecular structure. tRNAs have two regions of fundamental functional importance: the anti-codon, which is responsible for specific mRNA codon recognition, and the 3' end, to which the tRNAs corresponding amino acid is attached (by aminoacyl-tRNA synthetases). tRNAs cope with the degeneracy of the genetic code in two manners: having more than one tRNA (with a specific anti-codon) for a particular amino acid; and 'wobble' base-pairing, i.e. permitting non-standard base-pairing at the 3rd anti-codon position. RNAcentral also lists the same sequence under 12 other names. Lineage: Bacteria; Bacillati; Bacillota; Bacilli; Lactobacillales; Streptococcaceae. The record is from RNAcentral.
CGCGGGAUGGAGCAGCACGGUAGCUCGUCGGGCUCAUAACCCGAAGGUCGUAGGUUCAAAUCCUGCUCCCGCAA